Molecule: ribosomal RNA, 485 nt
Filed under: uncultured bacterium
Lineage: Bacteria
Description: bacterial SSU rRNA
Rfam family: Bacterial small subunit ribosomal RNA
Source: RNAcentral
GAUGAACGCUAGCGGCAGGCUUAACACAUGCAAGUCGAGGGGCAGCACUUGUAGCAAUACAUGGUGGCGACCGGCGCAAGGGUGCGUAACGCGUGAGCAACAUGCCCGUAUCAGGGGGAUAAUCCAGGGAAACUUGGUCUAAUACCCCAUAGCAAUUAUUUAAGGCAUCUUAAAUAAUUUAAAGCUUUGGUGGAUACGGAUUGGCUCGCGUGACAUUAGCUAGAUGGUAAGGUAACGGCUUACCAUGGCUACGAUGUCUAGGGGUUCUGAGAGGAAGAUCCCCCACACUGGAACUGAGACACGGUCCAGACUCCUACGGGAGGCAGCAGUGAGGAAUAUUGGACAAUGGAUGGAAAUCUGAUCCAGCCAUGCCGCGUGCAGGAAGACGGCCCUAUGGGUUGUAAACUGCUUUUGUUAUGGGAGCAAUAAGGUCUAUGCGUAGACUGAUGAGAGUACCAUACGAAUAAGCAUCGGCUAACUCCGUG